This 300-nucleotide ribosomal RNA is filed under the name uncultured Slackia sp. Its description in RNAcentral is "bacterial SSU rRNA". It matches the Rfam family "Bacterial small subunit ribosomal RNA", at positions 496 to 795 of the family's 1533-position model. The record is from RNAcentral. Lineage: Bacteria; Bacillati; Actinomycetota; Coriobacteriia; Eggerthellales; Eggerthellaceae.
GCGAACUCCGGGCGCGCAGGCGGGGUAAUACGGGGGGGGUGAGCGUUGGUCGGAAUUACUGGGCGGAAAGCGGACGUAGGCGGCUUUGUAAGUUAGAGGUGAAAGCCCAGGGCUCAACCCUGGAAUUGCCUUUAAGACUGCAUCGCUUGAACAUCGGAGAGGUAAGUGGAAUUCCGAGUGUAGAGGUGAAAUUCGUAGAUAUUCGGAAGAACACCAGUGGCGAAGGCGACUUACUGGACGAUUGUUGACGCUGAGGUGCGAAAGCGUGGGGAGCAAACAGGAUUAGAUACCCGUGUAGUC